AUUGAACGCUGGCGGCAGGCUUAACACAUGCAAGUCGAGCGGGGUGAUGGUGCUUGCACUAUCACUUAGCGGCGGACGGGUGAGUAAUGCUUAGGAAUCUGCCUAUUAGUGGGGGACAACAUCUCGAAAGGGAUGCUAAUACCGCAUACGUCCUACGGGAGAAAGCAGGGGAUCACUUGUGACCUUGCGCUAAUAGAUGAGCCUAAGUCGGAUUAGCUAGUUGGUGGGGUAAAGGCCUACCAAGGCGACGAUCUGUAGCGGGUCUGAGAGGAUGAUCCGCAACACUGGGACUGAGACCCGGCCCAGACUCCUACGGGAGGCAGCAGUGGGGAAUAUUGGACAAUGGGGGGAACCCUGAUCCAGCCAUGCCGCGUGUGUGAAGAAGGCCUUAUGGUUGUAAAGCACUUUAAGCGAGGAGGAGGCUCUUUUGGUUAAUACCCAAGAUGAGUGGACGUUACUCGCAGAAUAAGCACCGGCUAACUCUGUGCCAGCCGCCGCGGUAA
Molecule: ribosomal RNA, 503 nt
Filed under: uncultured bacterium
Lineage: Bacteria
Description: partial 16S ribosomal RNA
Rfam family: Bacterial small subunit ribosomal RNA
Source: RNAcentral